Molecule: ribosomal RNA, 1991 nt
Filed under: human gut metagenome
Description: bacterial LSU rRNA
Rfam family: Bacterial large subunit ribosomal RNA
Source: RNAcentral
CAGUACCGUGAGGGAAAGGCGAAAAGAACCCCGGCGAGGGGAGUGAAAAAGAACCUGAAACCGUGUACGUACAAGCAGUGGGAGCACGCUUCGGCGUGUGACUGCGUACCUUUUGUAUAAUGGGUCAGCGACUUAUAUUCUGUAGCAAGGUUAACCGAAUAGGGGAGCCGAAGGGAAACCGAGUCUUAACUGGGCGUUAAGUUGCAGGGUAUAGACCCGAAACCCGGUGAUCUAGCCAUGGGCAGGUUGAAGGUUGGGUAACACUAACUGGAGGACCGAACCGACUAAUGUUGAAAAAUUAGCGGAUGACUUGUGGCUGGGGGUGAAAGGCCAAUCAAACCGGGAGAUAGCUGGUUCUCCCCGAAAGCUAUUUAGGUAGCGCCUCGUGAAUUCAUCUCCGGGGGUAGAGCACUGUUUCGGCAAGGGGGUCAUCCCGACUUACCAACCCGAUGCAAACUGCGAAUACCGGAGAAUGUUAUCACGGGAGACACACGGCGGGUGCUAACGUCCGUCGUGAAGAGGGAAACAACCCAGACCGCCAGCUAAGGUCCCAAAGUCAUGGUUAAGUGGGAAACGAUGUGGGAAGGCCCAGACAGCCAGGAUGUUGGCUUAGAAGCAGCCAUCAUUUAAAGAAAGCGUAAUAGCUCACUGGUCGAGUCGGCCUGCGCGGAAGAUGUAACGGGGCUAAACCAUGCACCGAAGCUGCGGCAGCGACACUAUGUGUUGUUGGGUAGGGGAGCGUUCUGUAAGCCUGUGAAGGUGUGCUGUGAGGCAUGCUGGAGGUAUCAGAAGUGCGAAUGCUGACAUAAGUAACGAUAAAGCGGGUGAAAAGCCCGCUCGCCGGAAGACCAAGGGUUCCUGUCCAACGUUAAUCGGGGCAGGGUGAGUCGACCCCUAAGGCGAGGCCGAAAGGCGUAGUCGAUGGGAAACAGGUUAAUAUUCCUGUACUUGGUGUUACUGCGAAGGGGGGACGGAGAAGGCUAUGUUGGCCGGGCGACGGUUGUCCCGGUUUAAGCGUGUAGGCUGGUUUUCCAGGCAAAUCCGGAAAAUCAAGGCUGAGGCGUGAUGACGAGGCACUACGGUGCUGAAGCAACAAAUGCCCUGCUUCCAGGAAAAGCCUCUAAGCAUCAGGUAACAUCAAAUCGUACCCCAAACCGACACAGGUGGUCAGGUAGAGAAUACCAAGGCGCUUGAGAGAACUCGGGUGAAGGAACUAGGCAAAAUGGUGCCGUAACUUCGGGAGAAGGCACGCUGAUAUGUAGGUGAAGUCCCUUGCGGAUGGAGCUGAAAUCAGUCGAAGAUACCAGCUGGCUGCAACUGUUUAUUAAAAACACAGCACUGUGCAAACACGAAAGUGGACGUAUACGGUGUGACGCCUGCCCGGUGCCGGAAGGUUAAUUGAUGGGGUUAGCGGUAACGCGAAGCUCUUGAUCGAAGCCCCGGUAAACGGCGGCCGUAACUAUAACGGUCCUAAGGUAGCGAAAUUCCUUGUCGGGUAAGUUCCGACCUGCACGAAUGGCGUAAUGAUGGCCAGGCUGUCUCCACCCGAGACUCAGUGAAAUUGAACUCGCUGUGAAGAUGCAGUGUACCCGCGGCAAGACGGAAAGACCCCGUGAACCUUUACUAUAGCUUGACACUGAACAUUGAGCCUUGAUGUGUAGGAUAGGUGGGAGGCUUUGAAGUGUGGACGCCAGUCUGCAUGGAGCCGACCUUGAAAUACCACCCUUUAAUGUUUGAUGUUCUAACGUUGGCCCCUGAUCGGGGUUGCGGACAGUGUCUGGUGGGUAGUUUGACUGGGGCGGUCUCCUCCUAAAGAGUAACGGAGGAGCACGAAGGUUGGCUAAUCCUGGUCGGACAUCAGGAGGUUAGUGCAAUGGCAUAAGCCAGCUUGACUGCGAGCGUGACGGCGCGAGCAGGUGCGAAAGCAGGUCAUAGUGAUCCGGUGGUUCUGAAUGGAAGGGCCAUCGCUCAACGGAUAAAAGGUACUCCGG